UUUAGCACCAUUUUUUCUCUGUGUCUCAAUUUACAUGUAGAUGCCGUCGGGUACACGUCUCUUCGAGGCUAGCUGAUUGAAUGCCUAAUGGCAGUCAACUGUCUCUGGCCUUUUCUGGAAAAAUUCAGCGGAAAAGUCAAUUUGCGUGAAUUUUCUCGCCAAACUGCGGCUAUCGAUGCUUCUUGUUGGAUACAUAGGGCUUUGUAUUUGUCCAUAAGUCAAAGUGGAAAUCGAGAGAGGUGAGAAAUUUUAGUGAUGAUACUCUUACUUCGUUUAGAAAGGUGUUUUUUCGAUUAUAGAAGUCAAGUAUGUUUUGUUUUCAAUUGAAGAUUUGAUAGUAUAUUUCAAAGCUAUCUACAGACGGUGACGAACGCCGGCGUAAGGCCGUUAGUUGUCUUUGAUGGGCUGCCUUUACCAGCCAAGGCAGCCGAAGAGGAAAGAAGGAAAAGAGAAAGAGAGGACCGUCGAAACAAAGCCGAGGAGGACAAUUUAACAAGCGAAGUAAGCUAACAGACAUCGCGGACAAGCCGUUUCAGUAACAUUUGACGAUAUCUGUACAUGUAUCAACAUUUGUUUGUCCGUGGGUAUAAUUUACGUUGUUUCCCCGUACGAGUCAGAUGCCCAAAUAGCUUUCCUGCUUGGCAGUGACUGUGCGGAUUUUGCAAUUACUGAAGAUUCAGACCUCUUGGCAUACAGCUGCAAAAAGGUUUGUGCACUUAAUAUCCUGCCCCUUUUCAGAUCUAAGGUUUUCUUUUUGCUUUUCCCCUCAAAGGCUUUCGUAAGUUGUUGGCUUUUUCUGAAAAUUAGUUUUGUUUUGCUUUUUUCUUUCCAGAUUUCAUGUAUUAUUUCUUCAAUGUUUUUUUCUUCCAACACUGGCCCGAAAGAAUUCCAAGUUGAUUACUUUCCCCAAAGAAUUCCCCAAAUUUAAUAGCUUCCAUCUGUUUUGUUGAUGGGAAAGUCAAAUAAAAUUGCCUUUGGUUGGGAAUCUACCAUAUUGUCAAGGGCACCCAACGACAAUUUUCGGAAAAUAUCUGUUCGGAAGACGAUUUGAGAUCUAGAACUUUCGGAAAAUUUUUUGUAAAAUUUCUUGCUUGCCUUCCUCUCCCAGAAUUUUCGAACAUCUGAAAAUGGUAUAAUUGCCCAUUUUUAACGGAUUUUUAGACUAGAAAGCUCACCUAGAAUUCUCGGGAGCCUUCUUUCUGGCUGGAAUUUUC
This is an unclassified non-coding RNA of Stylophora pistillata, 1214 nucleotides long. The record is from RefSeq and is a predicted model, not a curated record. NCBI's taxonomy places the organism in Eukaryota, Metazoa, Cnidaria, Anthozoa, Scleractinia, Pocilloporidae.